GUCUUUUAACAAAAUAAUUCCAAUUCGUUGUAAUCAAAUUUUGUGUGUCACAAUUUUUUCAUCAUCUUGCUUUGUUUUUUUUUUUUGGUUAUAGAAAAUUCUAAAUGAAACCGAAUGGGUCGUAUAAGAAGAGAAUUGGGAGCAAAAGGAAGUGACACGUUUCGUGAAAAAGAAUGAUACAUUUUAAAAAAGUUGUUGCUAACACUACCACAAAAUUUCAUGAGUGUUGGUAAGUUUCUAUCUUUUUUUGGAACCGGGAAGCCUGAUUUCGACAGAGUUGGCCUCUGCAUCCUGGUGACAUGCACCACAUCCCAAGAAUAAUCGUCAUAAUGCUCAUCGUACAAGAAAGAGGAGGAUAUAUAUCUCUGGGAAGGAAAUAAGGAAAAAACAAACAAACAAAGAAACAAAAAGGUUUUUAUAAUCUCUUUCAAUGCCUGAUGAAUUCUGGAUGAAUAAUGUUCGAUUGCUAUACAAAUUUUUUUUAGUUAA
Molecule: long non-coding RNA, 489 nt
Organism: Daphnia carinata
Lineage: Eukaryota; Metazoa; Arthropoda; Branchiopoda; Diplostraca; Daphniidae
Exons: 2
Source: RefSeq, a predicted model, not a curated record